GGGGAAUCUUGCGCAAUGCGCGAAAGCGUGACGCAGCAACGCCGCGUGGGGGAAGAAGGCUCUCGGGUCGUAAACCCCUUUCAGUUGGGACGAAGCUUCGCCGGUGAAUAGCCGGCCGGAGUGACGGUACCUUCACAAGAAGCCCCGGCUAACUACGUGCCAGCAGCCGCGGUAAUACGUAGGGGGCAAGCGUUGUCCGGAAUCAUUGGGCGUAAAGCGCGUGUAGGCGGCUUGAUAAGUCUGUCGGGAAAGUCCAGGGCUCAACCCUGGAAUGCCGAUGGAUACUGUCAGGCUCGAGUCCGGAAGAGGCGAGUGGAAUUCCUGGUGUAGCGGUGAAAUGCGCAGAUAUCAGGAGGAACACCAAUGGCGAAGGCAGCUCGCUGGGACGGUACUGACGCUGAGACGCGAAAGCGUGGGGAGCAAGC
Molecule: ribosomal RNA, 425 nt
Filed under: uncultured bacterium
Lineage: Bacteria
Description: bacterial SSU rRNA
Rfam family: Bacterial small subunit ribosomal RNA
Source: RNAcentral